Molecule: ribosomal RNA, 412 nt
Filed under: uncultured microorganism
Description: bacterial SSU rRNA
Rfam family: Archaeal small subunit ribosomal RNA
Source: RNAcentral
GUGCAGCAGGCGCGAAACCUCCGCAAUACACGAAAGUGUGACGGGGCCGUCCCGAGUGCCGUCCGCUGAGGACGGCUUUCCCCAGUGUACAUAGCUGGGGGAAUAAGGAGAGGGCAAGCCUGGUGUCAGCCGCCGCGGUAAUACCAGCUCUCCGAGUGGUGGGGACGCUUAUUGGGCCUAAAGCAUCCGUAGCCGGCUAGGCAAGCCCUCCGUUAAAUCCAACGAUUCAAUCGUUGGGCUGCGGGGGAUACUGUCCAGCUUGGGGGCGGGAGGGGCCGACGGUAUUCCCGGGGUAGGGGUGAAAUCCUAUAAUCCCGGGAGGACCACCAGUGGCGAAGGCUGUCGGCUAGAACGCGCCCGACGGUGAGGGAUGAAAGCUGGGGGAGCGAACCGGAUUAGAUACUCGCGUAGU